GUGACGGCGUGCCUUUUGCAUAAUGAACCUACGAGUUACCAUCACAGGCAAGGUUAAGUCUCAUGAGGGACGCAACCGCAGUGAAAGCGAGGCUGAAUAGGCCGUCGAGUCUGUGGGGGUAGACGCGAAACCAAGUGAUCUACACUUGUCCAGGUUGAAGUCCCGGUAACACGGGAUGGAGGACCGAACCAAUAAGCGUUGAAAAGCUUCUGGAUGAGAUGAGUGUAGGAGUGAAAGGCCAAUCAAACUUGGAGAUAGCUCGUACUCCCCGAAAGGCAUUUAGGUGCCGCGUCGGAUGUUCAGCGUGAGAGGUAGAGCGACCGAUAGGACAAGAGGGCUUCACCGCCUAUCGAGUCCUGACGAACUCCGAAUGCUCACGCUCCGCAGUCCGGCAGUAAGGGGACGGGUGCUAAGGUCCGUUCCCGAGAGGAGAAGAAUCCAGACCGCCGUCUAAGGUCCCGGAAUUCUGUCUAAGUUAGUCUAACGAAGUGGGGUCUCAGUGACAGCCAGGAUGUUGGCUUGGAAGCAGCCAUUCAUUCAAAGAGUGCGUAACAGCUCACUGGUCGAGAGUCCCUGCAUGGAUAAUAAUCGGGUAUAAGACAGAUACCGAAGGCGCGGGAUAGCAAUAAUAAAAGUAUCGGUAGGGGAGCAUUCCAUAUCCGUCGAAUGGUGCGGGUAACUGAUCCUGGAGGAUAUGGAAAAGCAAAUGUAGGUAUAAGUAACGAUAAGGAGGGUAAGAUUCCCUCCCGCCGCAAGACUAAGGUUUCCCGGGCAAUGUCAAUCAUCCCGGGGUCAGUCGGGUCCUAAGUCUCAGCCGAAGGGCGAGGGCGAUGGCAGACACGGUCAACAUUCCGUGACUACCUUUAUGAGCGAUGCGGAGACGGAGCAGUGACACUUCCGCGAACCGACGGAAUGGUUCGUUGAAGAGUGUAGACGUUGAUCAGGGUAGGCAAAUCCGCCUUGAGAGUCGAACUUGAAAGUACAGGGUCCUCUUCGGAGGAACUUGAUAGCGAAGGUAAACAUACUCCCGAGAAAAUCCGCUAAGCAAUCUUAAAGGUACCCGUACCGCAAACGGACACACGUAGUCGGGUAGAACAUACUAAGGCGUUGAGAGAUUCAUGGUUAAGGAACUAGGCAAACUGACCCCGUAACUUCGGGAUAAGGGGUCCUCGUGAUGAGCGAGGCGCAGAGAAUAGGUCCAGGCAACUGUUUAACAAAAACACAGGGCUGUGCGAACUCGAAAGAUGAAGUAUACAGCCUGACACCUGCCCGGUGCCGGAAGGUUAAGAGGAGAUGUCAACCUUUGUGGCGAAGCAUUGAAUUGAAGCCCCGGUAAACGGCGGCCGUAACUAUAACGGUCCUAAGGUAGCGAAAUUCCUUGUCGGGUAAGUUCCGACCUGCACGAAUGGUGUAAUGAUCCGGACGCUGUCUCAACCAUGAGC
RNAcentral lists this ribosomal RNA (1442 nucleotides) under gut metagenome. Its description in RNAcentral is "bacterial LSU rRNA". It matches the Rfam family "Bacterial large subunit ribosomal RNA", at positions 593 to 2032 of the family's 2925-position model. The record is from RNAcentral.